GAUGAAGAACGUAGUGAAAUGCGAUAAGUAGUGUGAAUUGCAGAAUUCAGUGAAUCAUCGAAUCUUUGAACGCACAUUGCGCCCCUUGGUAUCCCGAGGGGCAUGCCUGUUCGAGCGUCAUUUCACCACUCAAGCCUGGCUUGGUGUUGGGCGACGUCCUCUUUGGGGACGCGCCUCGAAACGCUCGGCGGCGUGGCACCGGCUUUAAGCGUAGCAGAAUCUUUCGCUUUGGAAGUCGGGGCCCCGUCUGCCGGAAGACAUGCUCGCAAGGUUGACCUCGGAUCAGGCAGGGAUACCCGCUGAACUUAAGCAUAUCAAUAAGCGGAGGA
RNAcentral lists this unclassified non-coding RNA (329 nucleotides) under soil metagenome. Its description in RNAcentral is "partial contains 5.8S ribosomal RNA, internal transcribed spacer 2, and large subunit ribosomal RNA". The stretch from base 1 to 120 matches the Rfam family "5.8S ribosomal RNA", at positions 35 to 154 of the family's 154-position model. The record is from RNAcentral.